UACGGGUGGAUAGUGGCGACGGGUGAGUAACACGUGGGCAAUCUGCCCUUCACUUCGGGACAAGCCCUGGAAACGGGGUCUAAUACCGGAUAACACUCUGUCCUGCAUGGGACGGGGUUAAAAGCUCCGGCGGUGAAGGAUGAGCCCGCGGCCUAUCAGCUUGUUGGUGGGGUAAUGGCCUACCAAGGCGACGACGGGUAGCCGGCCUGAGAGGGCGACCGGCCACACUGGGACUGAGACACGGCCCAGACUCCUACGGGAGGCAGCAGUGGGGAAUAUUGCACAAUGGGCGAAAGCCUGAUGCAGCGACGCCGCGUGAGGGAUGACGGCCUUCGGGUUGUAAACCUCUUUCAGCAGGGAAGAAGCGCAAGUGACGGUACCUGCAGAAGAAGCACCGGCUAACUACGUGCCAGCAGCCGCGGUAAUACGUAGGGUGCGAGCGUUGUCCGGAAUUAUUGGGCGUAAAGAGCUCGUAGGCGGCUUGUCACGUCGGAUGUGAAAGCCCGGGGCUUAACCCCGGGUCUGCAUUCGAUACGGGCUAGCUAGAGUGUGGUAGGGGAGAUCGGAAUUCCUGGUGUAGCGGUGAAAUGCGCAGAUAUCAGGAGGAACACCGGUGGCGAAGGCGGAUCUCUGGGCCAUUACUGACGCUGAGGAGCGAAAGCGUGGGGAGCGAACAGGAUUAGAUACCCUGGUAGUCCACGCCGUAAACGUUGGGAACUAGGUGUUGGCGACAUUCCACGUCGUCGGUGCCGCAGCUAACGCAUUAAGUUCCCCGCCUGGGGAGUACGGCCGCAAGGCUAAAACUCAAAGGAAUUUGACGGGGGCCCG
RNAcentral lists this ribosomal RNA (828 nucleotides) under Streptomyces sp. Its description in RNAcentral is "bacterial SSU rRNA". It matches the Rfam family "Bacterial small subunit ribosomal RNA", at positions 83 to 923 of the family's 1533-position model. Lineage: Bacteria; Bacillati; Actinomycetota; Actinomycetes; Kitasatosporales; Streptomycetaceae. The record is from RNAcentral.